AAAAAAAUGCGUAGCUGCAGAACACAAUUCAGUCCUUUCCCCACCCUGGCCGACAAUCCCACGGAUGCCUCCUCUAGGCUAGCGCCGCCCCGGGCACCUCCUUCACCCAUGCCUCCGCCUCCACCCAGCCGACAGAGCAGUCCCGGCGCCACCCCUUGCUAGCACAGCCACCGCCAUUACCGCCGGCAGCUGGAUGUGCGCUAUGGCGCAUCGGGGGGCGCUCCGGCCCAGCAUGAUGACCGCCGUGACCGCAGCAGCAGUCCCUCCUCUCACGGCCACGCUCGAGCCCUCUCUUUCAGUUCCCCAUGGCAGCCCCCUCUGCAUCCUGCAUCCCGACGGCUGGCGCCGCCCCGAGCCACCCUAUGGUCCCUAUCCCGCACGGCAGGGACGGCCCGAACCACCCCUGCACCCCUGACGGCCGGCGCGCGUCGACUGCACCAACUCUUCUCUUCCUCGAGUUGUGGCUAUGCUUGAAAUAGAUGAUCAUAUGCAUGAUGUGUGGAAGAGACGUGAUGAUGACAAGUCGAUUCACUCUACUACUUUUAGUUGGAUAUCAGGACUCCCUUUCGAUGCCAAAAUAAAGGAGUGACUGACCAGUGAAGAAAAGAACAAACAAGAUCUCUGGUCAAUCUUGUAUUAUAUUGCGGUUUAUCAGAUUUUCCUGAAGAACAUGGCUGUGAUCUGGUAGUAGAACACUUUGCAUGACUACCUGAUUAAUCACAUCAAGUAAAUGUCUGGCAGGUGCUAUCCAGAUUCGAGAGGGUAAACUUUAGAACUAACUGACUACUAAUGCUGCAAUAAAAGCCAAAGCCGUUUGAUCGUGGGAUGUUUUGUCCGACAUGGCCACCUGUGUUCGAUAGGGUCACGGUCAGCUGUGUUGGCCGGGAUUCAAUUCAGCCCUUGUACUACACGGAAAACUUGUACGGAGUAUAGGAGUUCUCGCAUGAUUUUUUUGUACAGGAGAGCUGGGCAACGACCGAGCCGACUUUCACGGGUCGUUUGGCUGGAUCGCCCGAAGCCCCAUGACCAGCGCUUGGAUAGAAUAGAUUAAUGUAAUCUAUACCUAAUAAUAAAGG
Molecule: long non-coding RNA, 1076 nt
Organism: Lolium perenne
Lineage: Eukaryota; Viridiplantae; Streptophyta; Magnoliopsida; Poales; Poaceae
Source: RefSeq, a predicted model, not a curated record